RNAcentral lists this small nuclear RNA (72 nucleotides) under Salvator merianae (Argentine black and white tegu). Lineage: Eukaryota; Metazoa; Chordata; Lepidosauria; Squamata; Teiidae. The record is from RNAcentral.
ACGCUUCAGCAGCACAUAUACUAAAAUUGGAACGAUACAGAGAAGAUUAGCAUGGCCCCUAAGAAAGAAAGA